GCCUUGGUGGUACAGUGGUUAGCACAGCUGCUUUCUGAGCAGUUGGCCUGGGUUUGAUUCCUGGCCAAUGCA
Non-coding RNA from Lates calcarifer (barramundi perch), 72 nucleotides. The record is from the annotation of a RefSeq genome assembly. NCBI's taxonomy places the organism in Eukaryota, Metazoa, Chordata, Actinopteri, Centropomidae.